Molecule: ribosomal RNA, 549 nt
Filed under: uncultured bacterium
Lineage: Bacteria
Description: bacterial SSU rRNA
Rfam family: Bacterial small subunit ribosomal RNA
Source: RNAcentral
UGGGGAAUAUUGCACAAUGGGCGCAAGCCUGAUGCAGCCAUGCCGCGUGUAUGAAGAAGGCCUUCGGGUUGUAAAGUACUUUCAGCGGGGAGGAAGGUGUUGUGGUUAAUAACCGCAGCAAUUGACGUUACCCGCAGAAGAAGCACCGGCUAACUCCGUGCCAGCAGCCGCGGUAAUACGUAGGGUGCGAGCGUUAAUCGGAAUUACUGGGCGUAAAGCGCACGCAGGCGGUCUGUCAAGUCGGAUGUGAAAUCCCCGGGCUCAACCUGGGAACUGCAUUCGAAACUGGCAGGCUAGAGUCUUGUAGAGGGGGGUAGAAUUCCAGGUGUAGCGGUGAAAUGCGUAGAGAUCUGGAGGAAUACCGGUGGCGAAGGCGGCCCCCUGGACAAAGACUGACGCUCAGGUGCGAAAGCGUGGGGAGCAAACAGGAUUAGAUACCCUGGUAGUCCACGCCGUAAACGAUGUCGACUUGGAGGUUGUGCCCUUGAGGCGUGGCUUCCGGAGCUAACGCGUUAAGUCGACCGCCUGGGGAGUACGGCCGCAAGAUUA